GUCUACAGCCAUACCACCCUGAAUGUGCCCGAUCUUGUCUGAUCUUGGAAGCUAAGCAGGGUCGGGCCUCGUUAGUACUUGGAUGGGAGACUGUUUCCA
This 99-nucleotide ribosomal RNA is filed under the name Microcebus murinus (gray mouse lemur). Lineage: Eukaryota; Metazoa; Chordata; Mammalia; Primates; Cheirogaleidae. The record is from RNAcentral.